UGCAAGUCGAGCGAACAGAAGGGAGCUUGCUCCCGGAUGUUAGCGGCGGACGGGUGAGUAACACGUGGGUAACCUGCCUGUAAGACUGGGAUAACUCCGGGAAACCGGAGCUAAUACCGGAUAGUUCCUUGAACCGCAUGGUUCAAGGAUGAAAGACGGUUUCGGCUGUCACUUACAGAUGGACCCGCGGCGCAUUAGCUAGUUGGUGGGGUAAUGGCUCACCAAGGCGACGAUGCGUACCCGACCUGAGAGGGUGAUCGGCCACACUGGGACUGAGACACGGCCCAGACUCCUACGGGAGGCAGCAGUAGGGAAUCUUCCGCAAUGGACGAAAGUCUGACGGAGCAACGCCGCGUGAGUGAUGAAGGUUUUCGGAUCGUAAAGCUCUGUUGUUAGGGAAAAACAAGUGCGAGAGUAACUGCUCGCACCUUGACGGUACCUAACCAGAAAGCCACGGCUAACUACGUGCCAGCAGCCGCGGUAAUACGUAGGUGGCAAGCGUUGUCCGGAAUUAUUGGGCGUAAAGGGCUCGCAGGCGGUUUCUUAAGUCUGAUGUGAAAGCCCCCGGCUCAACCGGGGAGGGUCAUUGGAAACUGGGAAACUUGAGUGCAGAAGAGGAGAGUGGAAUUCCACGUGUAGCGGUGAAAUGCGUAGAGAUGUGGAGGAACACCAGUGGCGAAGGCGACUCUCUGGUCUGUAACUGACGCUGAGGAGCGAAAGC
RNAcentral lists this ribosomal RNA (721 nucleotides) under Bacillus pumilus. RNAcentral describes it as "bacterial SSU rRNA". It matches the Rfam family "Bacterial small subunit ribosomal RNA", at positions 56 to 760 of the family's 1533-position model. Lineage: Bacteria; Bacillati; Bacillota; Bacilli; Caryophanales; Bacillaceae. The record is from RNAcentral.